Non-coding RNA from Cinara cedri, 354 nucleotides. The record is from the annotation of a GenBank genome assembly. Lineage: Eukaryota; Metazoa; Arthropoda; Insecta; Hemiptera; Aphididae.
CAAUCAAUAAGUUGUAAGGCGUAUAAGACUCUAGGGUUCGUAAGACGAAUAUCGUCUGACUUCAAGCUUACCUCUUCACUGAAGACUUUACUGUUUCUUAAUGCGACCCCUGCUUGAGUAUGAUUAAAUUUCGUAGGAUCCCAUUACAGACUCCGACUCUGCAAUUAUCGAGUGAGUUCAAAGACGUUUUCUGUCCUAUGCUGGCCAUGGAAUAUCUCCCACCUGUUACAUAAAUACUCUUCUGUUCUCCACGUGCUUGGUUUACCAACGCUAGCCAAUAGAAAAGUUAACAUUACCCUCGUAACCUCAUUGGUGGUUCUGUGGACGCACCUUCUCUCCUUUUCCUCAUCAACU